RNAcentral lists this ribosomal RNA (497 nucleotides) under uncultured bacterium. RNAcentral describes it as "partial 16S ribosomal RNA". It matches the Rfam family "Bacterial small subunit ribosomal RNA", at positions 28 to 507 of the family's 1533-position model. The record is from RNAcentral.
GACGAACGCUGGCGGCGUGCCUAAUACAUGCAAGUUGAGCGCUGAAGGUUGGUACUUGUACCAACUGGAUGAGCAGCGAACGGGUGAGUAACGCGUGGGGAAUCUGCCUUUGAGCGGGGGACAACAUUUGGAAACGAAUGCUAAUACCGCAUAAAAACUUUAAACACAAGUUUUAAGUUUGAAAGAUGCAAUUGCAUCACUCAAAGAUGAUCCCGCGUUGUAUUAGCUAGUUGGUGAGGUAAAGGCUCACCAAGGCGAUGAUACAUAGCCGACCUGAGAGGGUGAUCGGCCAAAUUGGGACUGAGACACGCCCCAAACUCCUACGGGAGGCAGCAGUAGGGAAUCUUCGGCAAUGGACGAAAGUCUGACCGAGCAACGCCGCGUGAGGGAAGAAGGUUUUCGGAUCGUAAAACUCUGUUGGUAGAGAAGAACGUUGGUGAGAGUGGAAAGCUCAUCAAGUGACGGUAACUACCCAGAAAGGGACGGCUAACUACGUG